GCCAUCUGCAACAGCUCAGUCAGUAGAGCAUGUGACUGUUAAUCUCAGGGUCGCGAGUUCGAGUCUGACCUUAGGCA
This is a non-coding RNA of Podarcis lilfordi (Lilford's wall lizard), 77 nucleotides long. The record is from the annotation of a GenBank genome assembly. Lineage: Eukaryota; Metazoa; Chordata; Lepidosauria; Squamata; Lacertidae.